UCCGUUGGUGAACCAGCGGAGGGAUCAUUACUGA
This 34-nucleotide ribosomal RNA is filed under the name Colletotrichum lindemuthianum. RNAcentral describes it as "partial 18S ribosomal RNA". Lineage: Eukaryota; Fungi; Ascomycota; Sordariomycetes; Glomerellales; Glomerellaceae. The record is from RNAcentral.